RNAcentral lists this ribosomal RNA (468 nucleotides) under uncultured bacterium. Its description in RNAcentral is "partial 16S ribosomal RNA". It matches the Rfam family "Bacterial small subunit ribosomal RNA", at positions 28 to 507 of the family's 1533-position model. The record is from RNAcentral.
GACGAACGCUGGCGGCGUGCUUAACACAUGCAAGUCGAACGGAAAGGCCCUGCUUUUGUGGGGUGCUCGAGUGGCGAACGGGUGAGUAACACGUGAGUAACCUGCCCUUGACUUUGGGAUAACUUCAGGAAACUGGGGCUAAUACCGGAUAGGAGCUCCUGCUGCAUGGUGGGGGUUGGAAAGUUUCGGCGGUUGGGGAUGGAUUCGCGGCUUAUCAGCUUGUUGGUGGGGUAGUGGCUUACCAAGGCUUUGACGGGUAGCCGGCCUGAGAGGGGGACCGGCGACAUUGGGACUGAGAUACGGACCAGACGCCUACGGGAGGCAGCAGUGGGGAAUAUUGCACAAUGGGCGGACGCCUGAUGCAGCAACGCCGCGUGCGGGAUGACGGCCUUCGGGUUGUAAACCGCUUUCGCCUGUGACGAAGCGUGAGUGACGGUAAUGGGUAAAGAAGCACCGGCUAACUACGUG